CCUACGGGGGGCUGCAGGGGGGAAUAUUGGACAAUGGGGGGAACCCUGAUCCAGCCAUGCCGCGUGUGUGAAGAAGGCCCUCGGGUUGUAAAGCACUUUCAGUGAGGAAGAACGCCUGGUGGUUAAUACCCAUCAGGAAAGACAUCACUCACAGAAGAAGCACCGGCUAACUCCGUGCCAGCAGCCGCGGUAAUACGGAGGGUGCGAGCGUUAAUCGGAAUUACUGGGCGUAAAGCGCGCGUAGGUGGCUUGAUAAGCCGGUUGUGAAAGCCCCGGGCUCAACCUGGGAACGGCAUCCGGAACUGUCAAGCUAGAGUGCAGGAGAGGAAGGUAGAAUUCCCGGUGUAGCGGUGAAAUGCGUAGAGAUCGGGAGGAAUACCAGUGGCGAAGGCGGCCUUCUGGACUGACACUGACACUGAGGUGCGAAAGCGUGGGUAGCAAACAGGAUUAGAUACCCCAGUAGUC
RNAcentral lists this ribosomal RNA (465 nucleotides) under Vreelandella stevensii. Its description in RNAcentral is "partial 16S ribosomal RNA". It matches the Rfam family "Bacterial small subunit ribosomal RNA", at positions 338 to 795 of the family's 1533-position model. The record is from RNAcentral. Lineage: Bacteria; Pseudomonadati; Pseudomonadota; Gammaproteobacteria; Oceanospirillales; Halomonadaceae.